UACCAGCACCCCGAGUGGUCGGGGCGAUUAUUGGGCCUAAAGCAUCCGUAGGCGGUUCUGCAAGUCUUCCGUUAAAUCAACCUGCUUAACAGAUGGGCUGCGGAGGAUACUAUGGAGCUAGGAGGCGGGAGAGGCAAGCGGUACUUAGUGGGUAGGGGUAAAAUCCGUUGAUCCAUUGAAGACCACCAGUGGCGAAGGCGGCUUGCCAGAACGCACUCGACGGUGAGGGAUGAAAGCUGGGGGAGCAAACCGG
This 253-nucleotide ribosomal RNA is filed under the name uncultured bacterium. RNAcentral describes it as "partial 16S ribosomal RNA". It matches the Rfam family "Archaeal small subunit ribosomal RNA", at positions 474 to 727 of the family's 1478-position model. The record is from RNAcentral.